This is a long non-coding RNA of Eubalaena glacialis (North Atlantic right whale), 201 nucleotides long. RefSeq lists it as uncharacterized. The transcript has 3 exons. The record is from RefSeq and is a predicted model, not a curated record. NCBI's taxonomy places the organism in Eukaryota, Metazoa, Chordata, Mammalia, Artiodactyla, Balaenidae.
GGAACUCCUCCGCCCGCCUCCCCUAGGAAAAUGCCCACCAGCCUCAGGGAGAGAUGGAGAAACUGAGGCUCAUAAAGAUGAAUUCUUUGGCUCUGGGGUUUUAUUGCCACUCAAUGGCAGAAACCAGUUACAGUUUUAACUAGAAACGUUGAUCAUUGCUGGCCCAACUCAUACCCCCUCCUCAGAGAAGCUACCCCACAC